This 593-nucleotide long non-coding RNA is filed under the name Citrus x clementina. RNAcentral describes it as "Citrus clementina (C. clementina) long non-coding RNA (CCLE_LNC000089)". Lineage: Eukaryota; Viridiplantae; Streptophyta; Magnoliopsida; Sapindales; Rutaceae. The record is from RNAcentral.
CUCAGACACACAUUACAUAGCACGCAGUCUUCGUGCUCUUCGUCGUCCUCUCUCUCGCUCUCUCUCGCUCUCUCUCUUUUGAACUUCAAAUCUCAGAUCUCUAUUCAAUGGCUUCAGUUACAGGAACUUCAGCCUGCAUGACCUCUCUGUCUUGCUCUUUCAAGCAGACCCAGGUCGUGUUUUUGUCUCUUUACGAUCUAAUUUCUCGAUUCUUGUAUUUGAUUCAUUGUAUCAUUUCGUGGGUUUGUUUUUAUUCCUUUGUUGAUUGAUUUAGAUCUUGAAAGUUCUGUUUUUUGCUCAUAUUUUUAAUAUCUGAAAUGUUAAUGGGUUUAAUUUUCAAUUCAUUGUUGUUUAUCUCAAAUCAGUCAAAUGUUUCGAUAUGAAAUCUCAGAUAGUUGAUUGGUGAAUAUAGGCUCUUUUGAUUCACGAAGGUUCAAGUAAAACACACACACACACACACACACACACACACACACACACACACAUGUAUAUGCAUGCAUGCGCACGCGCGCGUGUGUGUACCUUCAACUAUCAAUUCAAUUUGAUCUUUGUCUAUUAGGGUCACCGGUCACCUGUAAUCAACUUAAAACCUA